This 492-nucleotide ribosomal RNA is filed under the name uncultured bacterium. RNAcentral's name for it is "partial 16S ribosomal RNA". It matches the Rfam family "Bacterial small subunit ribosomal RNA", at positions 29 to 507 of the family's 1533-position model. The record is from RNAcentral.
AGUGAACGCUGGCGGUAGGCCUAACGCAUGCAAGUCGAACGGCAGCACAGUAAGAGCUUGCUCUUACGGGUGGCGAGUGGCGGACGGGUGAGGAAUACAUCGGAAUCUACUUUUUCGUGGGGGAUAACGUAGGGAAACUUACGCUAAUACCGCAUACGACCUACGGGUGAAAGCAGGGGAUCUUCGGACCUUGCGCGAUUGAAUGAGCCGAUGUCGGAUUAGCUAGUUGGCGGGGUAAAGGCCCACCAAGGCGACGAUCCGUAGCUGGUCUGAGAGGAUGAUCAGCCACACUGGAACUGAGACACGGUCCAGACUCCUACGGGAGGCAGCAGUGGGGAAUAUUGGACAAUGGGCGCAAGCCUGAUCCAGCCAUACCGCGUGGGUGAAGAAGGCCUUCGGGUUGUAAAGCCCUUUUGUUGGGAAAGAAAAGCAGCAGGUUAAUACCCCGCUGUUCUGACGGUGCCCAAAGAAUAAGCACCGGCUAACUUCGUG